Long non-coding RNA from Vespa crabro (European hornet), 661 nucleotides. RefSeq lists it as uncharacterized. The transcript has 6 exons. The record is from RefSeq and is a predicted model, not a curated record. NCBI's taxonomy places the organism in Eukaryota, Metazoa, Arthropoda, Insecta, Hymenoptera, Vespidae.
UAAUUGUUCAGUAGGCAUUACCUUGACACAUUUCCGUAUCGUCUCUGUUAAUUCCAGGUUUCCUAUAAUUUUCGUGCAAGGAUCAACAAAACCUUUCUCUCAAAUUAAAGAAGAAUCCUUCAUCAUUCUGGGGCAGGAUGCUCAUCGUACAAGAUUCAACAAGGACUUAAAAUCAUCAUUUUAAUCAGGUUUAUCUACUACGAUUUCAACAAAUAACAAUUUAUUUCGAUGUCUACUUCGAUGUCUACUAAUUCCGACCUAUUACACGCACAAGUGUUUUGGAGCCAUCGUAGAACUUCUUAAGUAAAUAUUAAACAUUGAUAUACAUUACAAGUUGAAACUAAUCAAGUCGAGGAAGAAGAAGUAGAAGUUAAAAAACAAGAGGGAGCACUUUUCCACCGUCACAGUUUCAAUUGCACCCUGGUGGACCUGCCAGAUGCGAAGUUGGCGCGUGCCACAUUGAAAUGAAAGAUGAGAACCGGCUCUCGAUGAGAUCCCAUUGUCCUCGAUAUACCUUUUCUACUGAAGGAGGGUUCCGUGAGUCUAGCAGGUUCACCAAACGGGAUAAAACACGAAAGAUGUAUCCAGUUACAACAGAGAGAACACGUUGAAUGUCUGAAAUAUCAUAUCUAAGGAUAUUUCAUUUGUUAUGAACGAAAAA